RNAcentral lists this ribosomal RNA (491 nucleotides) under Hortaea werneckii. RNAcentral's name for it is "eukaryotic LSU rRNA". The stretch from base 134 to 287 matches the Rfam family "5.8S ribosomal RNA". The record is from RNAcentral. Lineage: Eukaryota; Fungi; Ascomycota; Dothideomycetes; Mycosphaerellales; Teratosphaeriaceae.
CCUCCCUCCAACCCCAUGUCGAAACGACUCUGUUGCCUCGGGGGCGACCCGGCCUUCGGGCGUCGGGGCCCCCGGUGGACACCUUCAUAACUCUUGCAUCUCUUGCGUCUGAGUGAUACAUACAAUCAAUCAAAACUUUCAACAACGGAUCUCUUGGUUCUGGCAUCGAUGAAGAACGCAGCGAAAUGCGAUAAGUAAUGUGAAUUGCAGAAUUCAGUGAAUCAUCGAAUCUUUGAACGCACAUUGCGCCCCCUGGCAUUCCGGGGGGCAUGCCUGUUCGAGCGUCAUUACACCACUCAAGCCUGGCUUGGUAUUGAGCGCCGCGGCCUGCCCGCGCGCUCCAAUGUCUCCGGCUGAGCCGUCCGUCUCUAAGCGUUGUGAAUAGCGAUCGCUUGCGAGGCCCGGGCGGUUCGACGCCGUUAAACCCCCCAUUUUCUAUGGUUGACCUCGGAUCAGGUAGGGAUACCCGCUGAACUUAAGCAUAUCAAUAA